This is a long non-coding RNA of Gorilla gorilla gorilla (western lowland gorilla), 580 nucleotides long. RefSeq lists it as uncharacterized. The transcript is spliced from 3 exons. The record is from RefSeq and is a predicted model, not a curated record. NCBI's taxonomy places the organism in Eukaryota, Metazoa, Chordata, Mammalia, Primates, Hominidae.
CUUCUCGGCUCCUAUCUGUGAUUCUAAGAAGAUUUAAUCAGCUUCCUGGUAAUUUCCGAGUCAGGCAGGUGUUAGGGAGAGCCCUACCUUCCACCCAGGAUGCCCAGAUCGGGAGGAUCCAGGUCGGGAAGGUCUGGAGGACAUUUGGACACAGACACAGGCCAUGUGAGCAUGAAGGCAGAGACUGAGAGAUGCAUCUAGAAGCCAAGGAACGUGGAAGAUGGCCAGCAAACUGCCAGACACAGAGGGAGAGGCCUGGAGCAGUCUCCCUUAUAGCCCCAGGAGGAACCAACCCUGCUUGCACGUUGCUGUUGGACUUCUGGCCUCCAGAACUGGGAGACAACACGUUUUGGUGGCUUAAGCCACCAGCGAUAUUCAUGCAGCCCCUGUGGAGGUCGAGGGAUUUGUUCCAGAGCUCUGGGCAAGGCAUUUUGCUUUUUGAGGCUUCCUAGCCUGUAAAGUGGGGAGUGGCAGCUGUCUGCAGCUGUCAAGAUCAAAUGAAAUAAAGAAGUCUGAAGAGAAGGGAAGGGCGGGAAUUGGAGGCGGAGACGCUGACCUCCAUUUCUGCCCUGCUUCUGCC